Molecule: long non-coding RNA, 400 nt
Filed under: Olea europaea subsp. europaea
Lineage: Eukaryota; Viridiplantae; Streptophyta; Magnoliopsida; Lamiales; Oleaceae
Source: RNAcentral
UGGUGCUCAAACAAGGCCUUAAUAAGUUCAGUUUUGUCGUGAUGGAAUGAUAAACAACUACAAAUAUUUUUGUAGCAAACAUGAACAAUAGAGGUGUAAAAGUGAGUUACAUUGCCUAAGCUUGAAGUGACCCAACCCUUAAAUGCCAAGUCCAAAGAGCUAGAUGGUAUCAAGGAAAAUUCCUUUACUCAAGCCAAAGACAAGGAAGAUGAUUUAUAAGCUCAAAUCAAGGCUAAUCUUAGAACGUAUCAAGCACCAAUAAAUGAAGCAAGCUGCACAAAUCAAAGCUGGACUCCUAUGCCAAAAUCAAGGUUGCUGCUUUCAAGUGGAAGCAAUUGAAAUUAGUCACAGAAAUAGCAUUACUACUAGAAAUAUAUUCCAAAGCAUGUAUAAAUAUAGU